Molecule: long non-coding RNA, 1663 nt
Organism: Bos taurus (domestic cattle)
Lineage: Eukaryota; Metazoa; Chordata; Mammalia; Artiodactyla; Bovidae
Source: Ensembl
GGUAUCGAACCGGAAUCCCCUGUGCGGAAAGGCAGAUUCUUAACCACUAGACCACCACGGAAGUCCCUCCUGAUUUUUUAGAUUGAGAAUAUAAGGCUAAGGAAAAUGGGUGGAUUGCCUCGGGUCUCCCAGUUUAAUAUGGUUUAACUGGAACUAGAACACAAGCCAAUGCAUGCACUUUGGUCCACGGGUGCAAGAAAGGAUAACCUCUAACCUUAACUGGCAAAACAUCAAUAUGUAUUGAAUACAGAAUUGAUGCUUUUGAACUGUAGUGUUAGAGAAGACUCUUGAGAGUCCCUUAGACUGCAAGGUGAUCCAACCAGCCCAUCUGAAAGGAAAUCAGUCCUGAAUGUUCAUUGGAAGGACUGAUGUUGAAGCUAAAACUCCAAUACUUUGGCCACCUGAUGUGAAGAACUGACUCAUUGGAAAAGACCCUGAUGCUGGGAAAGAUUGAAGGCAGGAGAAGGAGAUGACAGAGGAUGAGAUGGUUCGAUGGCAUCACUGAAUCAAUGGACAUGAGUUUGAGUCAACUCCGGGAGUUGGUGAUGGACAGGGAGGCCUGGCGUGCUGCAGUCCAUGGGGUCGCAAAGAGGCAAGCACAACUGAGUGACUGAACUGAACUGAUUGGCCACACACCAUGCUGGGGACCAAGGAUACAGUAGAACCACUGCCUCCUCGGAUGUGCUGGCCUCCUAACAGAUAGUCCAAACACAAGUAGGACAACUUCAGGCUCAAUAGAAUAUUGUCAUCUCUCCAGAGGGAAAGGCCCAGAGUCCUCCAGACCCAGAUUUCCAAGGGCAUUCAGACUCUGACAGGGAAAUGUGUGAAAGAUAAAAAGUUUAACAGAAAUGGAAGUUCCAGGAAGAAUGUGUCUGGACAGUGGACUUCCCUGGUGGCUCAGCAGUAAAGAAUCCAUCUGCCAGUGCAGGAGAUGCAGCCUCAAUCCCUGGAUUGGGAAGAUCUCCUAGAGAAGGAAAUGGCAAUGUACCCCAGUAUUCUUGCCUGGGAAAUCCCAUGGACAGAGGAGCCUAGUGGGCUAGAGUCCAUGGGGUCACAGAAUCGGACACAACUUAGCGACUGAACAACAAGCACUAUUUUCCAACAGGAGGUGAAAUGAUGAAAGCGCAAUAUUCAGUUAACCAGAAACAGACAGGGUCCAGGAGCCCAUCACUAAGCAUUCUGAUGGCUCAAGCUUCUCUGAAAAGUCUCUCAGUACUGUUUCUAUUUUUUGAAAAUGAUAAAGGUGUAAUCCUAUAAAAUGUCUUUUAUAGGAUUGAACUGAAUCCAGGUAGAAAAAGGAUAAAUAGUUGGAAUGACGCAUGUUUGAAAGGGUGAGAGGUAAGAAGAAAAACUAUCGUUUGGUGCUGUGAGCAUCAUCAUUUUAUGGGAGACAGGUCCACGGAGAGAGGGUAUUUAUUCUAAGGGCCUUCGCUCUGAAUCUUUGCAACGUUCUCCUUUGUCCUGUCCCAGGGCACAAACAUUUUACAGCAGAAAGGUGAAUGUGUCCUUGACCACUGAGGUCUUCUGUCUGAAUCAUUAUUAGUCAAUCCUUGAAACAGAAAAAUAGGAGACUUCCCCUGGGGUCUAGGGGUUAAGUUCCCAGUGCAAGGGCUGCGGAUUUGGUCCUUCAUUGGGAAACUAGGAUCCCACAUACCAUGAGCUG